GAUAAACGCUGGCGGCGUGCCUAAUACAUGCAAGUCGAGCGAACAGACGAGAGUGCUUGCCCUUUCUGGUGUUCGCCGCGGACGUGUGUGUCACACGUGUGUCCCCUCCCUAUAAGACUGGUAUCAUUUCGGGACACCAGUGCCUAUUCCGGAUAAUAUCUAGCUUCCUAUGUUGCUAUAGUAAAAGACCGUUCUUCUCUCUUUUAUAGUUGCACCCGCGGUGUAUUAGCUAGUUGGUGAGGUAACGGCUCACCAAGGCAACGAUACAUAGCCGACCUGAGAGGGUGAUCGGCCACACUGGGACGGAGACACGGUCCAGACUCCUACGGGAGGCAGCAGUAGGGAAUCUUCCGCAAUGGACGAAAGUCUGACGGAGCAAGGCCGCGUGAGUGAAGAAGGUAUUCGGAUCGUAAAACUCUGUUGUAAGGGAAGAACAAGUACGUAAGUAACUGAACAUACCUUGACGGUACCUAAUCAGAAAGCCACGGCUAACUACGUG
This 499-nucleotide ribosomal RNA is filed under the name uncultured bacterium. RNAcentral's name for it is "partial 16S ribosomal RNA". It matches the Rfam family "Bacterial small subunit ribosomal RNA", at positions 28 to 507 of the family's 1533-position model. The record is from RNAcentral.